GUAAAAAAUUUAUAAGAAUAUGAUGUUGGUUCAGAUUAAGCGCUAAAUAAGGACAUGACACAUGCGAAUCAUACGUUUAUUAUUGAUAAGAUAAUAAAUAUGUGGUGUAAACGUGAGUAAUUUUAUUAGGAAUUAAUGAACUAUAGAAUAAGCUAAAUACUUAAUAUAUUAUUAAAAAAAAAUAAUUUAUAUAAUAAAAAGGAUAUAUAUAUAAUAUAUAUUUAUCUAUAGUCAAGCCAAUAAUGGUUUAGGUAGUAGGUUUAUUAAGAGUUAAACCUAGCCAACGAUCCAUAAUCGAUAAUGAAAGUUAGAACGAUCACGUUGACUCUGAAAUAUAGUCAAUAUCUAUAAGAUACAGCAGUGAGGAAUAUUGGACAAUGAUCGAAAGAUUGAUCCAGUUACUUAUUAGGAUGAUAUAUAAAAAUAUUUUAUUUUAUUUAUAAAUAUUAAAUAUUUAUAAUAAUAAUAAUAAUAUAUAUAUAUAAAUUGAUUAAAAAUAAAAUCCAUAAAUAAUUAAAAUAAUGAUAUUAAUUACCAUAUAUAUUUUUAUAUGGAUAUAUAUAUUAAUAAUAAAAUUAAUUUAUUAUUAUUAAUAAUAUAUUUUAAUAGUCCUGACUAAUAUUUGUGCCAGCAGUCGCGGUAACACAAAGAGGGCGAGCGUUAAUCAUAAUGGUUUAAAGGAUCCGUAGAAUGAAUUAUAUAUUAUAAUUUAGAGUUAAUAAAAUAUAAUUAAAGAAUUAUAAUAGUAAAGAUGAAAUAAUAAUAAUAAUUAUAAGACUAAUAUAUGUGAAAAUAUUAAUUAAAUAUUAACUGACAUUGAGGGAUUAAAACUAGAGUAGCGAAACGGAUUCGAUACCCGUGUAGUUCUAGUAGUAAACUAUGAAUACAAUUAUUUAUAAUAUAUAUUAUAUAUAAAUAAUAAAUGAAAAUGAAAGUAUUCCACCUGAAGAGUACGUUAGCAAUAAUGAAACUCAAAACAAUAGACGGUUACAGACUUAAGCAGUGGAGCAUGUUAUUUAAUUCGAUAAUCCACGACUAACCUUACCAUAUUUUGAAUAUUAUAAUAAUUAUUAUAAUUAUUAUAUUACAGGCGUUACAUUGUUGUCUUUAGUUCGUGCUGCAAAGUUUUAGAUUAAGUUCAUAAACGAACAAAACUCCAUAUAUAUAAUUUUAAUUAUAUAUAAUUUUAUAUUAUUUAUUAAUAUAAAGAAAGGAAUUAAGACAAAUCAUAAUGAUCCUUAUAAUAUGGGUAAUAGACGUGCUAUAAUAAAAUGAUAAUAAAAUUAUAUAAAAUAUAUUUAAUUAUAUUUAAUUAAUAAUAUAAAACAUUUUAAUUUUUAAUAUAUUUUUUUAUUAUAUAUUAAUAUGAAUUAUAAUCUGAAAUUCGAUUAUAUGAAAAAAGAAUUGCUAGUAAUACGUAAAUUAGUAUGUUACGGUGAAUAUUCUAACUGUUUCGCACUAAUCACUCAUCACGCGUUGAAACAUAUUAUUAUCUUAUUAUUUAUAUAAUAUUUUUUAAUAAUUAUUAAUAUUAUUAAUUUUUAUUUAUUUAUAUCAGAAAUAAUAUGAAUUAAUGCGAAGUUGAAAUACAGUUACCGUAGGGGAACCUGCGGUGGGCUUAUAAAUAUCUUAAAUAUUCUUACA
This 1644-nucleotide non-coding RNA is filed under the name Saccharomyces cerevisiae YJM248. RNAcentral describes it as "15S ribosomal RNA". It matches the Rfam family "Bacterial small subunit ribosomal RNA". Lineage: Eukaryota; Fungi; Ascomycota; Saccharomycetes; Saccharomycetales; Saccharomycetaceae. The record is from RNAcentral.